GGGAUCAUUAAAGAGUUCUAUAACUCCCAAACCCAUGUGAACAUACCUAACGUUGCCUCGGCAGGUCGCACCUACCUUGUAGCACCCUACCCUGUAGGGCCUACCCGGGAGAUGCGGGUAAGCCUGCCGGCGGCCCACCAAACUCUGUUUGAUAUUGAAUUCUGAACAUAUAACUAAGUAAGUUAAAACUUUCAACAACGGAUCUCUUGGUUCUGGCAUCGAUGAAGAACGCAGCGAAAUGCGAUAAGUAAUGUGAAUUGCAGAAUUCAGUGAAUCAUCGAAUCUUUGAACGCAUAUUGCGCCCAUUAGUAUUCUAGUGGGCAGGACCGUUCGAGCGUCAUUUCGACCCUUAAGCCUUAGUUGCUUAGUGUUGGGAGCCUACGGCAACGUAGCUCCUCAAAGUUAGUGGCGGAGUUGGUUCACACUCUAGACGUAGUAAUUUUUUAUCUCGCCUAUUAGUUGGACUGAUCCCCUGCCGUAAAACCCCCAACUUAUCAAGGUUGACCUCGAAUCGGUUCAGACAAACUCGCUAAAUUGAAGCAUCUUAGUCAGCGAAGGAAAAGAAACCAACAGGGAUUGCCCUAGUAACGGCGAGU
This 596-nucleotide ribosomal RNA is filed under the name fungal endophyte. RNAcentral describes it as "eukaryotic LSU rRNA". The stretch from base 187 to 340 matches the Rfam family "5.8S ribosomal RNA". The record is from RNAcentral. Lineage: Eukaryota; Fungi.